AGAUGGAGGUGGACACAGAAGAGAAGCGCCAUCGCACACGCUCCAAAGGAGUUCGAGUUCCCGUGGAACCAGCCAUACAAGAGCUGUUCAGCUGUCCCACGCCCGGCUGCGACGGCAGUGGUCAUGUUAGUGGCAAAUAUGCAAGACACAGAAG
Long non-coding RNA from Galeopterus variegatus (Sunda flying lemur), 154 nucleotides. RefSeq lists it as uncharacterized. The record is from RefSeq and is a predicted model, not a curated record. The transcript has 3 exons. NCBI's taxonomy places the organism in Eukaryota, Metazoa, Chordata, Mammalia, Dermoptera, Cynocephalidae.